Vidua chalybeata is the source of this 1347-nucleotide long non-coding RNA. RefSeq lists it as uncharacterized. The record is from RefSeq and is a predicted model, not a curated record. Lineage: Eukaryota; Metazoa; Chordata; Aves; Passeriformes; Viduidae. The transcript is spliced from 3 exons.
CAGCCUGGCAAUGGCACUGCUGGGCAGCUCCAGAUCACGGGGCUCUGCUCUCAUUCCAUCCUGUUCUCAGAGCAGCUUUUUGAGUGCGGGUUUGAUUGGUGAGUGACAGCCAGUGUGGACAGUGAGGAAGCCCAGCUCUGCUGCCUGGGCCAGCUGCAGUGAACACGCUGUAAAUCGGACUGGUCCAGAGCAACGUGUCCAUGGGAUCCACCUGGCACUGCCGUGACCCUCUGGAAUCCCAUGGCUGGACCACAGCUGGCACUUCUGAACACACCAUCAGGUUCAGCCCUGGUGAUGGUCAGGGAGACCUCGGUGAGCCCCAGUGUGCCUUGUUUGGUGGGGUGAGGAAGAGGAUGUUGCAGUCACCGGUGGUCCCCUCUUGGCCUGACAGUCAUGGUGAUUCUAAAAUGUCACCUCCUGCUUUCCACUGGCCUCAGUGACUGUGGGUUUUGCUGAUCUCCAGCAAUUCUCUGGCUGCUCUGUUCACUCUAGAUCCUGUGAGGGAUGUCUCCUGCCCAGCAGUAUUCUACACGGCUUAACUCCUUCCAUCAGCAAAUCCCUCUGUCCUCCCCAUCCUUCCACUUUACAGCUUCAGGGAAACUCGCCUUCACUUUCCUGACUUCCAGGUAACACACCCAGGUGCUGCCACACCCACCUGGACCCUUCCAGCCAGGCAGGAGGUCCAUGAACAGCAGAAAGAAAGUCAUCACCAGAUAACCAUGGCUAAAACUGCCCGCUCCAGCAUCUGGGUGAAGACAUCUCAACUUUCAAUUUUCUUGCUGAUUUCCCGGAGCUGAUGGUGCCCUUCACUCCUCCUUGGCAUGUUCAGGGCUGCAUCCUAAGCAUCCAGACAGUACCCACGAGAUCGGUGCAAAAGUUUCAGAAGCAGAGACUCAAGAGCAGUGCUGAGGCUGUGCUUCGGGGAACACAAUUCUCAUUCCUUUGAAAAUUCUUGUUCUGCUGGUUGGGAAUUUUGUUCAGCAUUUCCCUUCCCAGCUGGCAUCAUAGAGCCUUUCUCAAGGUGUUGACUGUGUGGAAAGAAGAAAAAAGAAGGGCAGAUUUCAUCUAGCUUGGAUUUACCCGGGGAAAGAUUUUCUUCCAGAGAUCCUAAUCCGAAACCGCUUCUUCCCCGUGGUAGUUCACAACCUCUGACGUACAUCCACAGGGGUGGACUCUGCAUCUGGGAGCACCAAGGGGGCUGGCCACAGGCUCUGGGAACAGAUGGAUUGGCAUUUUGGCUCAUGAGAUUAAGAACCAAUUCUACUCCAGCCACGGCUGCGUCUCAGCACCGUGGAAACCACAGCAUUUAUGUAAAAAGCAUUUGGGCGGAAUUUACUCACCUAUCAC